RNAcentral lists this ribosomal RNA (301 nucleotides) under uncultured bacterium. RNAcentral's name for it is "partial 16S ribosomal RNA". It matches the Rfam family "Bacterial small subunit ribosomal RNA", at positions 509 to 808 of the family's 1533-position model. The record is from RNAcentral.
CAGUAGCGCGGUAAUACAGAGGGUGCAAGCGUUAAUCGGAAUUACUGGGCGUAAAGCGCGCGUAGGUGGUUUGUUAAGUUGGAUGUGAAAUCCCCGGGCUCAACCUGGGAACUGCAUCCAAAACUGGCAAGCUAGAGUAUGGUAGAGGGUGGUGGAAUUUCCUGUGUAGCGGUGAAAUGCGUAGAUAUAGGAAGGAACACCAGUGGCGAAGGCGACCACCUGGACUGAUACUGACACUGAGGUGCGAAAGCGUGGGGAGCAAACAGGAUUAGAUACCCCUGUAGUCCCUGUCUCUUAUACC